GGAUUGUAGCUCAGAGGUAGAGUGCUUGCCUAGCAUGUGUGAGGCACUGGGUUUGAUCCUCAGCACCA
This 68-nucleotide transfer RNA is filed under the name Marmota monax (woodchuck). RNAcentral's name for it is "tRNA.Ala". Lineage: Eukaryota; Metazoa; Chordata; Mammalia; Rodentia; Sciuridae. The record is from RNAcentral.